AAUAUUUUCGAUCGACUUAUUUUUUUUAGUUUUUAUUGAAUCGUCAAAACAAAAUAAUAAAAAAGUUUAAUUUAUUUUCUAAAACAAAUAAAAAAUGAAAAAAAGUUCAAUACCGAACGGAAAUGGGUCUUAAACAUCCCCUUUUAACAAAACCAGUCAAAAGUGAAGCUGUUCUUAUGAAAAAAAAAAAAAUCAAAAAUCCUCAAAAGUUGGAAAACGGAAAAAAACUCACCUAAAAGUCUCUGGAAUGUCUCGAAGUUCAGUGGAAAUGUAGUAACCAGCUCCAAAUCAUAGAAAUAUUUCGAUUUGUGAAAGCAGAACCUCUAUUAUGGGCUAACAAGCUCCAACGCAAUGUCAUCACAUGCAACGUAGCGUAGGUCGUCGUUACACUAUACCCAGCUAAUGUAAAGAUAUUCGUGUUAGAUGUGAUGUUUUUUCUAAUAAAAGCCAAACUACCUAUAACCUCAUGCUGUUCAAUGAUGUGCAACAAACUUCAAGGGCAAGGAUAAUGUCUGAUAGUCUGGAAACAUACCCCAACGUCAUAAUGACUAUGGAAAAUAGUGGAGAGAAUUCUUGGUUAAACGAUAUACAUUAAAAACAUAAUAUUCACAUGGUUUGAAUCCAAUCAGAUUGUCAAGGUUGGAUGGAAAUGCCUUGACCUUGAGAAAAAAAAAAAGAAGAAUGACAGAGUAAAUAUUGUUUUGAUAUUUGUUGUUAUUGUAUGGGUUCUGCUUAAAGAUC
Molecule: long non-coding RNA, 741 nt
Organism: Episyrphus balteatus (marmalade hoverfly)
Lineage: Eukaryota; Metazoa; Arthropoda; Insecta; Diptera; Syrphidae
Exons: 3
Source: RefSeq, a predicted model, not a curated record